RNAcentral lists this ribosomal RNA (253 nucleotides) under uncultured bacterium. RNAcentral's name for it is "partial 16S ribosomal RNA". It matches the Rfam family "Bacterial small subunit ribosomal RNA", at positions 524 to 776 of the family's 1533-position model. The record is from RNAcentral.
UACGUAGGGUGCAAGCGUUGUCCGGAAUUAUUGGGCGUAAAGAGCUCGUAGGCGGUUUGUCGCGUCGAAUGUGAAAACCCGGGGCUCAACCUCGGGUCUGCAGUCGAUACGAGCAAACUAGAGUGUUGCAGGGGAGACUGGAAUUCCUGGUGUAGCGGUGAAAUGCGCAGAUAUCAGGAGGAACACCGGUGGCGAGGGCGGGUCUCUGGGCAACAACUGACGCUGAGGAGCGAAAGCGUGGGGAGCGAACAGG